This 468-nucleotide ribosomal RNA is filed under the name uncultured bacterium. Its description in RNAcentral is "partial 16S ribosomal RNA". It matches the Rfam family "Bacterial small subunit ribosomal RNA", at positions 28 to 507 of the family's 1533-position model. The record is from RNAcentral.
GACGAACGCUGGCGGCGUGCUUAACACAUGCAAGUCGAACGGAAAGGCCCUGCUUUUGUGGGGUGCUCGAGUGGCGAACGGGUGAGUAACACGUGAGUAACCUGCCCUUGACUUUGGGAUAACUUCAGGAAACUGGGGCUAAUACCGGAUAGGAGCUCCUGCUGCACGGUGGGGGUUGGAAAGUUUCGGCGGUUGGGGAUGGACUCGCGGCUUAUCAGCUUGUUGGUGGGGUAGUGGCUUACCAAGGCUUUGACGGGUAGCCGGCCUGAGAGGGUGACCGGCCACAUUGGGACUGAGAGACGGCCCAGACUCCUACGGGAGGCAGCAGUGGGGAGUAUUGCACAAUGGGCGGAAGCCUGAUGCAGCAGCGCCGCGUGCGGGAUGACGGCCUUCGGGUUGUGAACCGCUUUCGCCUGUGACGAAGCGUGAGUGACGGUAAUGGGUAAAGAAGCACCGGCUAACUACGUG